Molecule: long non-coding RNA, 752 nt
Filed under: Homo sapiens (human)
Lineage: Eukaryota; Metazoa; Chordata; Mammalia; Primates; Hominidae
Description: HSALNT0236760
Source: RNAcentral
CCCAGCUCCACUUACCAGGCCGCGGCUACCCCGCCGUCCCCCCCGACUCCCGCCACCCCGCUCUCUCAGGCUCUUCAGGAUCCAAGUCCGUAGGCCCUUUAAGGGGUCUAGUUGCCGUUUGCGAGGCCCUGGGACUUUGGUCCCAGACAGCGGGGAUCCGGAUGGCUUCCGUGCGGAUCCGAGAGGCCAAGGAGGGAGACUGUGGAGAUAUCCUGAGGCUGAUUCGGGAGCUAGCCGAAUUCGAAAAACUCUCGGAUCAGGUGAAGAUCAGUGAAGAAGGUGGGGGCUCAGCGCCCAGGUUCUGGCGGAGGCUGGGGAGGAAAUGAGGGAUGGGUUCCCCAGGCGACAGCUCCAGGCUGGGCAUACACCCACGUCCUCUUUCUCUAUCUCUUUGUCACAACUCCAAUCUCGGCAGCCCUGAGAGCAGAUGGCUUUGGAGACAAUCCUUUCUAUCACUGUUUGGUAGCAGAGAUUCUUCCAGCGCCCGGGAAGCUACUGGGUCAAGGGAUUGGUUCCAAAAUAAUCAAAAAGGUGGCUGAGGUGGCCUUGGAUAAGGGCUGCUCCCAAUUCCGCCUGGCCGUCCUGGACUGGAACCAGAGGGCCAUGGACUUGUACAAGGCCCUAGGAGCCCAAGAUCUGACGGAAGCUGAGGGCUGGCACUUCUUCUGCUUUCAAGGAGAGGCAACGAGAAAGUUGGCAGGAAAGUGACGCCAUCCCUAGGAGGAUCUCUGUCUUGAGUUUCUCCUUCCCCA